ACAGAGGUCCCAAGCGUUGUUCGGAUUCACUGGGCGUAAAGGGUGCGUAGGCGGUCGGGUAAGUCUGAUGUGAAAUCUCCAAGCUUAACUUGGAAAUGGCAUCGGAUACUAUUCGGCUCGAGGAAUGGAGGGGAGACUGGAAUACUUGGUGUAGCAGUGAAAUGCGUAGAUAUCAAGUGGAUCACCAGUGGCGAAGGCGAGUCUCUGGACAUUUCCUGACGCUGAGGCACGAAAGCCAGGGGAGCAAACGGGA
RNAcentral lists this ribosomal RNA (253 nucleotides) under uncultured prokaryote. Its description in RNAcentral is "partial 16S ribosomal RNA". It matches the Rfam family "Bacterial small subunit ribosomal RNA", at positions 525 to 777 of the family's 1533-position model. The record is from RNAcentral.